GAUGAACGCUGGCGGCGUGCCUAACACAUGCAAGUCGAGCGAACAGACGAGGAGCUUGCUCCUCUGACGUUAGCGGCGGACGGGUGAGUAACACGUGGAUAACCUACCUAUAAGACUGGGAUAACUUCGGGAAACCGGAUCUAACACCGGAUAAUAUAUUGAACCGCAUGGUUCAUUAGUGAAAGACGGUUUUGCUGUCACUUAUAGAUGGAUCCGCGCCGCAUUAGCUAGUUGGUAGGGUAACGGCUUACCAAGGCGACGAUGCGUAGCCGACCUGAGAGGAUGAUCGGCCACACUGGAACUGAGACACGGUCCAGACUCCUACGGGAGGCAGCAGUAGGGAAUCUUCCGCAAUGGGCGAAAGCCUGACGCAGCAACGCCGCGUGAGUGAUGAAGGUCUUCGGACCGUAAAGCUCUGUUAUUAGGGAGGAACAAAUGUGUAAGUAAAUAUGCACGUCUUGACGGUACCUACUCAGAAAGCCCCGGCUAACUACGUG
RNAcentral lists this ribosomal RNA (497 nucleotides) under uncultured bacterium. RNAcentral describes it as "partial 16S ribosomal RNA". It matches the Rfam family "Bacterial small subunit ribosomal RNA", at positions 28 to 507 of the family's 1533-position model. The record is from RNAcentral.